CACCACAGCGCCAAACCAUCGCGCCACCACCACCGCCGUGGCGGCAUCGUUUUGGCAAAGCGAACAUUUCUGUCGUGCGAAAACAACAAAAAUCCCUCCCCAAGCUCUGCGGUGCUGUACAUAUAAAGGAGUUAUCGGGUCAACAUUGUAUCCCGUACGGAAGGGACAGAUGAUAUUAAACCGCAAUUUAUUGUACCUCUGUUCGCAAUAAUUACCUCGCUCAACGACAACAACAAUAUUCACGAAUACUAUUCAUGUACACUGUUAUUUUAUCCCAACCAGUGAGAAAUCUCCAAGCGAGACUCGGCGCUCUGGCUGCCUUGGCGACUGCGGCGAUGCCAUUCCACGCGGGCCCUCCCACCCUGCCCUCGAUUUUUUAAAUCGUUCGCUCCUCAGCGCUUUACUUCAAGACGCCGAUAAAUUAUGCAUUUGUCCGUCCACGGCGGCACACAUUCAAGCACUUGGGCCAAGCUGGACACGUGAUCCUAGGUGCAGGAGCACCGCCUGCACCGCCUCAACAGCUGUGCAUCGCCGAUGUGGAGUGGAAACGUCCGGCUUCUGCCGACAGCCAAGAGAGUCGAGCGAGAGCGCUCCGCGGGAGAGACGCCUGGCGCGCCGACUGCAUGGGGCUGUGCGAAGGGCGCCGUGCACGUUGAGCGCACGGCACGCGAAGGUCUACCAGGCUCGCCUCGCGGCGGACAUCUGGGAGCGCCGCCGCUGGGUUCUGCGUGGCAACGCGCCCCCAGCGCUCGAUUCAAGAGCUGUGCGGGCCACCGCUGUCAGCAGGAACUCGCACUUCCUGCCUCGUCUCCAGACCCGGUCUGCCAGUGACGUCCCCGCGUGUUUCCCUAAUCGAACGUAAAGAAUGACGUGAGGAUGACGUUGGGGAUGAUGAUGAUGAUGAGUGUGAUGAUAGUCAAGAUGAUGUUGACGGUGAUGUUGCUGAUGAUUAUUUUGGUGGUGGUGAUGUUGAUGUGGAUGAUGAGGCUGAUGGUGAUGAUGGCGAGGAUGUUGAAGAUGACGUGUGAGGACGGCGAAGCUCGCGACGAUUGUAAAGGCGAUGUAGAUGGUGCUGAUCAAGGUAUUAUUUGGGUGAUGGUAGUGCGAAUGGUGGUGAUGAUUGCGAGCUGCAGGAGGCUGAAGGAAAAGUUAUUUUCUGGGAGAAAUUGGAAAACUCGAAGAACAAAGUAAGAAAUGCGUUGUUGAAGAAGCUGACUUUAGAAAUCACGCCUUAUCGGCGUUUGACGCUUGUUAUAAUACGUCGGGCUCAAAACUUUGUGCAGAUAAACUGUUUUUUCUUUUCCGAAUUUCAGAAAUAAGAUUGAAAAAAAUAUUAUAUUAGUUUUUGGUUCGGUGAGAAACAUGAUUAAUUUGUGUUCGUUUUUUUGUAUUAUUAUAAACUACUUCUGCAAAGUACAAUCUCGGUUCCCACCAACUCUUGUGGUGACUAAUCUUACCUGCUGAGAGCCUGUACACAGUGACACACACACACGCACACGCGCACACAACGACAAAGAUCCCCCGUGAAGCCUUAACACACCGUUGGGGCAAGUGCUGUUUGCGUGUAGCAGCACCUAUGAAGGCCCGCUCGGUACACGAGGGGGUGUGUGGCCAGCACCAUGCACAGCCGCCUUUGUCUCCCCAGUGACUAUGUAUAUACAUCGCGCCAGGAACUCAUUUAAGGUUGAGUCGACCUUGGGGAAACCCAGGACCGGUUCGAUUAUUUGCCACUGGUA
This is a non-coding RNA of Petromyzon marinus (sea lamprey), 1736 nucleotides long. NCBI's taxonomy places the organism in Eukaryota, Metazoa, Chordata, Hyperoartia, Petromyzontiformes, Petromyzontidae. The record is from RefSeq and is a predicted model, not a curated record.